ACUUGAGUAGCCCAAAUGGC
RNAcentral lists this small nuclear RNA (20 nucleotides) under Arabidopsis thaliana (thale cress). RNAcentral describes it as "snRNA_18068". Lineage: Eukaryota; Viridiplantae; Streptophyta; Magnoliopsida; Brassicales; Brassicaceae. The record is from RNAcentral.